RNAcentral lists this ribosomal RNA (459 nucleotides) under uncultured bacterium. Its description in RNAcentral is "partial 16S ribosomal RNA". It matches the Rfam family "Bacterial small subunit ribosomal RNA", at positions 338 to 795 of the family's 1533-position model. The record is from RNAcentral.
CCUACGGGAGGCAGCAGUGAGGAAUAUUGGUCAAUGGUCUGGAGACUGAACCAGCCAAGUCGCGUGAGGGAUGAAUGCUCAGAGUAUUGUAAACCUCUUUUGUCAGGGAACAAAGGCGGGGACGUGUCCCCGGAUGAGUGUACCUGAAGAAAAAGCAUCGGCUAACUCCGUGCCAGCAGCCGCGGGAAUACGGAGGAUGCGAGCGUUAUCCGGAUUUAUUGGGGUUAAGGGGUGCGCAGGCGGUCUGUUAAGUCAGCGGUAAAAGCUCGGGGCUCAACCCCGGCCCGCCGUUGAAACUGGCAGUCUUGAGUUGGCGAGAAGUAGGCGGAAUGCGCGGUGUAGCGGUGAAAUGCAUAGAUAUCACGCAGAACUCCGAUUGCGAAGGCAGCAUGCCGGCUCCAAACUGACGCUGAGGCACGAAAGCGUGGGUAUCGAACAGGAUUAGAUACCCCUGUAGUC